GUCCAGGGGCGGGAAUCGAACCCACAACCUUCUGCUUACCGGGCAGGUGUCAUGUCCACUAGGCUACCCUGGA
This 73-nucleotide transfer RNA is filed under the name Cordylochernes scorpioides. Its description in RNAcentral is "tRNA-Thr". The record is from RNAcentral. Lineage: Eukaryota; Metazoa; Arthropoda; Arachnida; Pseudoscorpiones; Chernetidae.